GAUGAACGCUGGCGGCGUGCCUAAUACAUGCAAGUCGAGCGAACAGAUGAGGAGCUUGCUCCUCUGACGUUAGCGGCGGACGGGUGAGUAACACGUGGAUAACCUACCUAUAAGACUGGGAUAACUUCGGGAAACCGGAGCUAAUACCGGAUAAUAUAUUGAACCGCAUGGUUCAAUAGUGAAAGACGGUUUUGCUGUCACUUAUAGAUGGAUCCGCGCCGCAUUAGCUAGUUGGUAAGGUAACGGCUUACCAAGGCAACGAUGCGUAGCCGACCUGAGAGGGUGAUCGGCCACACUGGAACUGAGACACGGUCCAGACUACUACGGGAGGCAGCAGUAGGGAAUCUUCCGCAAUGGGCGAAAGCCUGACGGAGCAACGCCGAGUGAGAGAUGAAGGUCUUCGGAUAGUAAAACUCUGUUAUUAGGGAAGAACAAAUGGGUAAGUAACUAUGCACGUCUUGACGGUACCUAAGCAGAAAGCCACGGCUAACUACGU
This 496-nucleotide ribosomal RNA is filed under the name uncultured bacterium. RNAcentral's name for it is "partial 16S ribosomal RNA". It matches the Rfam family "Bacterial small subunit ribosomal RNA", at positions 28 to 506 of the family's 1533-position model. The record is from RNAcentral.